Molecule: ribosomal RNA, 439 nt
Filed under: uncultured bacterium
Lineage: Bacteria
Description: bacterial SSU rRNA
Rfam family: Bacterial small subunit ribosomal RNA
Source: RNAcentral
CUGUGAGUGUUGAAGCUAACGCGCUAAAUACCACCGCCUGGGGAGUACCGGUCGCAAGGCUAAAACUCCAAAGGAAUUGACGGGGGCCCGCACAAGCAGCGGAGCGUGUGGUUUAAUUCGAGGCUACGCGAAGAACCUUACCUGGGUUGGAACACAUAGUGGACGAAGCCGAAAGGUGGAGGUACCCGCAAGGGACGCUAUGACAGGUGCUGCAUGGCUGUCGUCAGCUCGUGUCGUGAGAUGUUCGGUUAAGUCCGAAAACGAGCGCAACCCCUAAGUCUAGUUAUACGUGUCUAGACUGACUGCCCUCGGCAAGGGGGAGGAAGGUGGGGAUGACGUCAAGUCAGCAUGGCCUUUAUGUCCAGGGCUAACACACACGCUAACAAUGGCGCGUACAAUAGGUAGCGAAGAAGCGACUCGGAGACAAUCCAACAAAGCG